AACUUUUGGCAAUGGAUCACUUGGCUCUCGCAUCGAUGAAGAACGCAGCGAAAUGCGAUAAGUAAUGUGAAUUGCAGACCUUGUGAAUCAUCGAAUCUUUGAACGCACAUUGCGCCCAUUGGUAUUCCGAUGGGCAUGCCUGUUCGAGCGUCAUUAUCAACCGUCAAGCCUGGCUUGCUAUUGGACUUGCUGUCCGGCUGAAGGACACGUCCCAAAGACAACGACCGUGUCGAGUGUGACCCCAGAUGCAAUGAGCUUUGUUAAGCACGCAUGUAAGGGGCCGCCCGGCCCGGCCUCAACCAUUUUUCUCAGGUUGACCUCGGAUCAGGUAGGGAUACCCGCUGAACUUAAGCAUAUCAAUAAGCGGAGGC
This 371-nucleotide unclassified non-coding RNA is filed under the name uncultured Eurotiomycetes. Its description in RNAcentral is "sequence contains ITS2". The stretch from base 1 to 153 matches the Rfam family "5.8S ribosomal RNA". Lineage: Eukaryota; Fungi; Ascomycota; Eurotiomycetes. The record is from RNAcentral.